UGGCCAUUGUCACUCAAACCGGGAAACUGGACAUUCACAGGAACUUUUCAUUUGUCAGGAUGCUUCAUCUUCCAAAGAAGACACCUGAGAAUUUCAAAUAAUAGCCCAUCACUUGUGCUUAAAAAAAUAAAAAAGGAGGAGGUGUUGGAAGCAGGGAAUGAAUUAUGGUUUUUGAACUGUCCAGCGACAGAAAUGAUGCCCCUCCUGAGAAUUCUCUGGGCAGAGGCAUUGAUUUGAGACUGUCCAGCUGCUAUGGUGACACCCU
This 265-nucleotide long non-coding RNA is filed under the name Ictidomys tridecemlineatus (thirteen-lined ground squirrel). Its description in RNAcentral is "lncRNA (ENSSTOG00000031956.1)". The record is from RNAcentral. Lineage: Eukaryota; Metazoa; Chordata; Mammalia; Rodentia; Sciuridae.